RNAcentral lists this microRNA precursor (110 nucleotides) under Ananas comosus (pineapple). RNAcentral's name for it is "mir-166 microRNA precursor family". It matches the Rfam family "mir-166 microRNA precursor family". Rfam says of the family: This family represents the plant microRNA (miRNA) precursor mir-166. Animal miRNAs are transcribed as ~70nt precursors and subsequently processed by the Dicer enzyme to give a ~22nt product. In plants the precursor sequences may be longer, and the carpel factory (caf) enzyme appears to be involved in processing. Lineage: Eukaryota; Viridiplantae; Streptophyta; Magnoliopsida; Poales; Bromeliaceae. The record is from Rfam by way of RNAcentral.
GUUGUGGGGAAUGUUGGCUGGCUCGAGGAGCAAUUUUAGCUCUCUCCCGUCUGCACUGCUUCUGGAGAAGCGAAAAGCGCUUUUUCGGACCAGGCUUCAUUCCUCUCAAA